Molecule: ribosomal RNA, 444 nt
Filed under: uncultured bacterium
Lineage: Bacteria
Description: partial 16S ribosomal RNA
Rfam family: Bacterial small subunit ribosomal RNA
Source: RNAcentral
CCUACGGGAGACAGCAGUGGGGAAUAUUGGGCAAUGGAGGAAACUCUGACCCAGCAAUGCCGCGUGAAUGAAGAAGGUCUUCGGAUUGUAAAGUCCUUUAGUCCGGGAAGCAUAAAAUGACGGUACCUGAAGAAUAAGCUCCGGCUAACUACGUGACAGCAGCAGUGGUAAUACGGAGGGAGCAAGCGUUGUUCGGGAUGACCGGGCGUAAAGGGUGCGUAGGCGGGUAUACAAGUGAGAAGUGAAAUACCCAGGGCUUAACUCCGGUGCUGCUUCUAAAACUGGAAGACUGGAGUGCAGUAGAGGUAAGUGGAAUUCCUAGUGUAGCGGUGGAAUGCAUAGAUAUUAGGAAGAACCCCGAAUGCGAAGGCAGCUAACUGGACAGCAACUGACGCUGAGGCACGAAAGUGUGGGUAGCGAACAGGAUUAGAUACCCGUGUAGUC